UACGGGAGGCAGCAGUGGGGAAUAUUGCACAAUGGGCGCAAGCCUGAUGCAGCCAUGCCGCGUGUAUGAAGAAGGCCUUCGGGUUGUAAAGUACUUUCAGUCGUGAGGAAGGUGUUAAGGUUAAUAACCUUAGCAAUUGACGUUAGCGACAGAAGAAGCACCGGCUAACUCCGUGCUAGCAGCCGCGGUAAUACGGAGGGUGCGAGCGUUAAUCGGAAUUACUGGGCGUAAAGGGCACGCAGGCGGUUAAUUAAGUUGGAUGUGAAAUCCCCGGGCUUAACCUGGGAAUGGCAUUCAAGACUGGUUAGCUAGAGUCUUGUAGAGGGGGUAGAAUUCCAUGUGUAGCGGUGAAAUGCGUAGAGAUGUGGAGGAAUACCGGUGGGCGAAGGCGGCCCCUGGGACAAAGACUGACGCUCAUGUGCGAAAGCGUGGGGAGCAAACAGGGAUUAGAUACC
RNAcentral lists this ribosomal RNA (455 nucleotides) under uncultured bacterium. Its description in RNAcentral is "bacterial SSU rRNA". It matches the Rfam family "Bacterial small subunit ribosomal RNA", at positions 340 to 786 of the family's 1533-position model. The record is from RNAcentral.